Molecule: ribosomal RNA, 253 nt
Filed under: uncultured bacterium
Lineage: Bacteria
Description: partial 16S ribosomal RNA
Rfam family: Bacterial small subunit ribosomal RNA
Source: RNAcentral
UACGGAGGGGGCGAGCGUUAUUCGGAAUUAUUGGGCGUAAAGGGCGCGUAGGCGGCUGAACAAGUCAAAGGUGAAAUCCCUCGGCUCAACUGAGGAACUGCCUUUGAAACUGUUCGGCUUGAGGCCGGGAGGGGGUAGCGGAAUUCCCAGUGUAGCGGUGAAAUGCGUAGAUAUUGGGAAGAACACCGGUGGCGAAGGCGGCGCUCUGGACCGAGACUGACGCUGAGGCGCGAAAGCGUGGGGAGCAAACAGG